RNAcentral lists this ribosomal RNA (552 nucleotides) under uncultured Archaeospora. Its description in RNAcentral is "eukaryotic LSU rRNA". The stretch from base 141 to 294 matches the Rfam family "5.8S ribosomal RNA". Lineage: Eukaryota; Fungi; Glomeromycota; Glomeromycetes; Archaeosporales; Archaeosporaceae. The record is from RNAcentral.
UUUCCGUAGGUGAACCUGCGGAAGGAUCAUUGACGAAGGCGAGAAUUGUAAAAAGAUUCUCGUUUGAUCAAUCACAUUCCAAAAGUGCGAGUAUAGUAAAAUGGGGAGACCCAUUUACGAUGUAUGUAUUAAUAAAACAAAACUUUCAACAACGGAUCUCUUGGCUCUUGCAUCGAUGAAGAACGCAGCGAAUUGCGACAAGUAGUGUGAAUUGCAGAAUUCCGUGAAUCACCGAGUCUUUGAACGCAUAUUGCACCUUUUGGUAUUCCGAAAGGUAUGCCUGUUUGAGGGUCAUUGAAUCAAUCGGUACGCGAAUACUUUUUGUGUAUCGGAAUGUUGAGCUUUUCGUAAUAUUUAUUAUGAUUGCUAGAAAUUGAAGCAUUGGUCUCGGCCUAAUAUAGAGACGCGUUUACGGUGGCUUGCUACCAAUUUUUCGCAACUUUUAGGUCGAAUUCCAAGCUGGUUUGGGCAUUUUCUCGAGGAAAGAAAAGGCGCAUACAAUUUAAUUUUUAUCAUGACCUCAAAUCAAGCAAGAAUACCCGCUGAACUUAA